Molecule: ribosomal RNA, 274 nt
Filed under: uncultured bacterium
Lineage: Bacteria
Description: partial 16S ribosomal RNA
Rfam family: Bacterial small subunit ribosomal RNA
Source: RNAcentral
AGCGCGGGCAGGACUUCGGUCCUGUUCCGAGCGGCGCACGGGUGAGUAACACGUGAGUAACCUGCCUCGAAGUUUGGGAUAACCGCCCGAAAGGGUGGCUAAUACCGGAUAAGCCCCCACUGGCAUAGGCCAGAGAGGGAAAAGCCUUGGCGCUUCGAGAUGGGCUCGCGUCCCAUUAGCUAGUUGGUGAGGUAACGGCUCACCAAGGCGAAGAUGGGUAGCUGGUCUGAGAGGAUGAUCAGCCACACUGGAACUGAGACACGGUCCAGACUCC